GCCUGGAUAGCUCAGUUGUUGGGAGCGUGGCGUGGCGCUGAUCACGCCAAGGUUGCAGGUUCGAUCCCCGUCCGGGACA
This is a non-coding RNA of Podarcis lilfordi (Lilford's wall lizard), 79 nucleotides long. Lineage: Eukaryota; Metazoa; Chordata; Lepidosauria; Squamata; Lacertidae. The record is from the annotation of a GenBank genome assembly.